GUUCACUGCCGUACAGGUAGCUUAGAAA
RNAcentral lists this non-coding RNA (28 nucleotides) under Erwinia mallotivora. RNAcentral also lists the same sequence under 4 other names. Lineage: Bacteria; Pseudomonadati; Pseudomonadota; Gammaproteobacteria; Enterobacterales; Erwiniaceae. The record is from RNAcentral.